This 490-nucleotide ribosomal RNA is filed under the name uncultured bacterium. RNAcentral's name for it is "partial 16S ribosomal RNA". It matches the Rfam family "Bacterial small subunit ribosomal RNA", at positions 28 to 507 of the family's 1533-position model. The record is from RNAcentral.
GAUGAACGCUAGCUACAGGCUUAACACAUGCAAGUCGAGGGGCAGCGGGAUUGAAGCUUGCUUCAAUUGCCGGCGACCGGCGCACGGGUGAGUAACGCGUAUCCAACCUUCCGUACAUUCAGGGAUAGCCUUUCGAAAGAAAGAUUAAUACCUGAUGGUAUGAUGAGAUUGCAUGAUAUCAUCAUUAAAGAUUUAUCGGUUUACGAUGGGGAUGCGUUCCAUUAGGUAGUAGGCGGGGUAACGGCCCACCUAGCCAACGAUGGAUAGGGGUUCUGAGAGGAAGGUCCCCCACAUUGGAACUGAGACACGGUCCAAACUCCUACGGGAGGCAGCAGUGAGGAAUAUUGGUCAAUGGACGAGAGUCUGAACCAGCCAAGUAGCGUGAAGGAUGAAGGUCCUACGGAUUGUAAACUUCUUUUAUAAGGGAAUAAACCCUCCCACGUGUGGGAGCUUGUAUGUACCUUAUGAAUAAGCAUCGGCUAACUCCGUG